CUUCCUUCUUUCAUGCCCCUCCCCUUACUGAUGACAGCCGGCCCCCCUCCAUCCCCUGCCCCUCUUGCUUCCUCUGCUCGACAGCUCUCCAUUCAAAUUUGUCGGGAAUCAAGAUUCUACACCCUCGUGAGCUGCGCAAGUACCGCCCCCCAACCCCUGCAUCUCCACAUCUGUCACAGUCGAGAUAAAGGGGAACCGGGCAUCCCAAUCUGGGCCUCUACCUCAGAGCUUCACUUCUUAAGCGGAUUCAGCAUGCUUUCAAUCAUACCCAUAACCAGUCAAAGCUGAGAUGGCUCCCAAGGGUGAAGGCAUAGUUGAGUGGACAGACGAGCUUGCUUUCAUUGACAUCAUGGUUGAUAAAUUCCAAAGGACGCAUACAUCAAGUUGGAAAUUGAAGGACUGAGAACAUAUCAGUAGGGAACUGGAAGAGAAAUUUCCUGGUGUGAUUCUUGACGCCGAAAAGGUGGAAACAAAAGCACAAAGGCUGAAGACAUAGUACAGUCAGUUCACAGAGCUGAUUCAGCACACUGGAGUAGGAUGGGAUGGGCCAACCAACACCGUGAAGGCGAAUCCUGAUAUUUGGGACAAGUUUAUCAAGAGGCACAACAACUUCAGGACUUUUCGGUCGAAAGGCUGCAAGCAUUAUGAGGCCUUAAAACUGAUGUACAAAUAUGCUACAACAUCAGGGGCCUACGAAUUUCUUCAACCGACCCACCUCAGAGCCCCUGAUCCUAUGCACGCAUAGAAGUUGAAUUUCUAAAAAGGAGGAACAGCCGUGGCAAAGAGCCUAUCGAUCUAGCAGAGGGCUCCGGCGACAGUGAUGAUCCCGUUCAUGAAGUUGAUAAACCUGUCGUUACAGGCUCUAGGCGGUGAGUGGUUCGCACACCAAUACGCAGUUGCAGGAGUUGAUCGACUUGUACAGGGAAAGUAAGACCAAGAAGGACAAAGCGAAAAAUUCUACCCUUCCAGAGUCAAAGAAGAGCAAGUUAGUGACGAGCCCCGAGAAACCAGCACGGAUAGCAUCAUCGAAGCCAUGGAUGUGCUCAAUAAAAUGCAGUGAACAAUUUCCGUACACGAGUAUCUCACCGGUACAGCACAUAUUACGGAGGAUGACCGAUGGCGACAGACGUUCGUUUGCAUGUACGAUGAAGAUAGGCGCAAAUGGCUGCACAGCCUUGUUCGUCCUUGAAUGGCUGAACGUUUCUCCUCAUAUGUGUUUCUUAUUUGUGAUUUCCGUUUUUCUAUUAUGACAUUAACCAAACUCUUGUUUUGCAUUUGUUAUGUUUGAACCUGAUUGACUUUAAUUUGUUUCGUGUGAAUAUCUGUGAUGUGUUCUUUUAUGGUUUUCAUUGAUAAUGCAUUGGAUAUAUGUUUGAAACAUAA
Non-coding RNA from Punica granatum (pomegranate), 1383 nucleotides. The record is from RefSeq and is a predicted model, not a curated record. NCBI's taxonomy places the organism in Eukaryota, Viridiplantae, Streptophyta, Magnoliopsida, Myrtales, Lythraceae.